UGGAGCCUCAUAACUCCUUUAAG
Molecule: transfer RNA, 23 nt
Filed under: Pristimantis eriphus (Rio Jatuntianhua robber frog)
Lineage: Eukaryota; Metazoa; Chordata; Amphibia; Anura; Strabomantidae
Description: partial tRNA-Phe
Source: RNAcentral